CAAACCAACCCUGCAUCUCAUUCGCUCGUCUCCUCUGAUCUCGUUGUCGCCGAUCAGCCUUCUUCGCCGCCAUCCCGGAGCAAAGAACACCUUCGGAUCCAUGGAUACGUUUCUUCAAACCCUAAGAAUUUCCUUUCUGUUUCUUCUUGGGUGUUUUUUUUUUAAAGAAAUGUUGAUUGAUCUCUAGAUUUUGACUUUGUGUUUUAGGGCAAGACGAUCCUGGUGUUCUAAAGGACCAAAGGGCAAGCGGAUCUUUGUGUUCUAAAGAGCCAAAGGGGUUCGUGGUCAUGGGAUUUCUUGAGUCAUGGGAAUUCAUUGAAUGAAGGGUACGCCGUAUAGAUUGCCUGUGAACAGAGUCAUGAUUGUUGUUAGAUAUUCAAUUAGAAAGCAUUAUCAAGAAAGCUGAUUUAUUACUGUUUACGAGGAAGGUGGCUAAGGAGAGAUUGCAUGCGAUAUCAAGCUCUGAAGCAUUGUUGGUCCACGGUGGGAUGGGAAAACGGAGGACUCACCGCUAGAGGAAAGGACAGGGAAUUA
Molecule: long non-coding RNA, 534 nt
Organism: Dioscorea cayenensis subsp. rotundata (Guinea yam)
Lineage: Eukaryota; Viridiplantae; Streptophyta; Magnoliopsida; Dioscoreales; Dioscoreaceae
Exons: 5
Source: RefSeq, a predicted model, not a curated record